CGUCCUAUUAGCUAGUUGGUGAGGUAAUGGCUCACCAAGGCUACGAUGGGUAGGGGUUCUUAGUGGAGGGUCCCCCACACUGGCACUGAGAUACGGGCCAGACUCCUACGGGAGGCAGCAGUAGGGAAUAUUGGUCAAUGGGCGCAAGCCUGAACCAGCCAUGCCGCGUGCAGGGUGAAGGCUCUCUGAGUUGUAAACUGCUUUUGUACAGGAGCAAAAAAAUCCCUGCGGGGGUUCUUGAGAGUACUGUAAGAAUAAGCACCGGCUAAUUCCGUGCCAGCAGCCGCGGUAAUACGGGAGGUGCAAGCGUUAUCCGGUUUUAUUGGGUUUAAAGGGUGCGUAGGCGGCUUAUUAAGUCAGUUGUGAAAUCCUAGUGCUUAACGCUAGAACUGCGAUUGAUACUAUU
RNAcentral lists this ribosomal RNA (406 nucleotides) under Candidatus Cardinium hertigii. RNAcentral's name for it is "bacterial SSU rRNA". It matches the Rfam family "Bacterial small subunit ribosomal RNA", at positions 234 to 637 of the family's 1533-position model. Lineage: Bacteria; Pseudomonadati; Bacteroidota; Cytophagia; Cytophagales; Amoebophilaceae. RNAcentral also lists the same sequence under 1 other name. The record is from RNAcentral.